CAAGACAUUCCAAUACUUACUUGUUUUCCAAAUAUUACUUAUUUAUUGCACUAAUGAAUGUCAGAAGGUAUCCGGUUACUCAAACAAGAUCCAUGUGCUAUUAAUGACUCCAAAACAUUUCAUUGAUAUACCAAUAAGUUCCUACUUCAUUGUUAUGGCAUUGGUGACUCCAAAACACUUCAUUGAUGUGCCAAUGGGUUCUUACUUCAUUGUUAUUGCAUUGAUGGUCUAUUUAUAUAUCUCUUAUUGAUGUAUCAUUGUUUCAAAGUAUCAAAAAUGCGGUGGCGACCGAAAU
RNAcentral lists this long non-coding RNA (295 nucleotides) under Capsicum annuum. RNAcentral's name for it is "long non-coding RNA (CANN_LNC006551)". Lineage: Eukaryota; Viridiplantae; Streptophyta; Magnoliopsida; Solanales; Solanaceae. The record is from RNAcentral.